Molecule: long non-coding RNA, 295 nt
Organism: Thalassophryne amazonica
Lineage: Eukaryota; Metazoa; Chordata; Actinopteri; Batrachoidiformes; Batrachoididae
Exons: 3
Source: RefSeq, a predicted model, not a curated record
UGAGACACUGAUGGGUAUUUUUAGCUUGAAUAUGAGGAAAGUGUCCUGCUUUGUUCAAAGUGGGAAAUGUAUCACUUCAUUGACAGGUAUGACCAAUAUGUAAAUACACUGGCAAGGAUUUAUGAGGAACAAAGCAGUUUUACGAGUUUAUUGCCUAAAGGCCGAUAAAUACCAAUGGUCUUCUUUGUGUCUCGUGUGCUUACAUAGUGUUAUUCUAAAUAGAUGCAAUGGGAAAUUAGAGAGUAAUUAGAGAGAUCUGGCAUGUUUGAUCAAAAUUUAAGCUGUGAAAAAUGUU